RNAcentral lists this unclassified non-coding RNA (330 nucleotides) under soil metagenome. RNAcentral describes it as "partial contains 5.8S ribosomal RNA, internal transcribed spacer 2, and large subunit ribosomal RNA". The stretch from base 1 to 120 matches the Rfam family "5.8S ribosomal RNA", at positions 35 to 154 of the family's 154-position model. The record is from RNAcentral.
GAUGAAGAACGUAGCGAAAUGCGAUAAGUAAUGUGAAUUGCAGAAUUCAGUGAAUCAUCGAAUCUUUGAACGCACAUUGCGCCCCCUGGUAUUCCGGGGGGCAUGCCUGUUCGAGCGUCAUUUCACCACUCAAGCCUCGCUUGGUAUUGGGCAACGCGGUCCGCCGCGUGCCUCAAAUCGACCGGCUGGGUCUUCUGUCCCCUAAGCGUUGUGGAAACUAUUCGCUAAAGGGUGUUCGGGAGGCUACGCCGUAAAACAACCCCAUUUCUAAGGUUGACCUCGGAUCAGGUAGGGAUACCCGCUGAACUUAAGCAUACAAUAAGCGGAGGA